This 349-nucleotide ribosomal RNA is filed under the name Gyna capucina. RNAcentral describes it as "partial 12S ribosomal RNA". The record is from RNAcentral. Lineage: Eukaryota; Metazoa; Arthropoda; Insecta; Blattodea; Blaberidae.
UUUUUAGGUAAAUUGGUUUAACUUGAGUAGUAAUAGUUAUGGUCUUGAAACUUAAAGAAUUUGGCGGUGUCUUAGUCUAUUUAGAGGAACCUGUCCCAUAAUCGAUAGUCCGCGAAGAACCUUACUUAAUUUAUUUGUAUGUAUACCGCCGUUUAUUGAAGAUUUUUUUAGAAUAUUUUCGUAAUAUUAUAAUUUAUAAUAUUUCAGGUCAAGGUGCAGUUUAUGAUUAAGAGGAGAUGGGUUACAAUGUUUAAAAUUAAAUGGAUUUUAGAUUGAAAUAUUUAUAUAAAGGUGGAUUUAAUAGUAAUUAUUUGUAGAUUGUUAUUAUGAUCUUAGCUCUNAAGGCNGU